RNAcentral lists this ribosomal RNA (293 nucleotides) under uncultured eukaryote. RNAcentral's name for it is "partial 18S ribosomal RNA". It matches the Rfam family "Eukaryotic small subunit ribosomal RNA", at positions 6 to 303 of the family's 1831-position model. The record is from RNAcentral.
GGUUGAUCCUGCCAGUAGUCAUAUGCUUGUCUCAAAGAUUAAGCCAUGCAUGUCUAAGUAUAAGCAAUCUAUACAGUGAAACUGCGAAUGGCUCAUUAAAUCAGUUAUCGUUUAUUUGAUAGUACAUUACUACUUGGAUAACCGUGGUAAUUCUAGAGCUAAUACAUGCUAAAAAUCCUAGUCUUUGGCUAGGAUGUAUUUAUUAGAUAAAAAACCAAUGUCUUCGGACUCUUUGGUGAUUCAUAAUAACUUUUCGAAUCGCAUAGCCUUGUGCUGGCGAUGGUUCAUUCAAA